Molecule: ribosomal RNA, 454 nt
Filed under: Globigerina bulloides
Lineage: Eukaryota; Foraminifera; Rotaliida; Globigerinidae
Description: partial 18S ribosomal RNA
Rfam family: Eukaryotic small subunit ribosomal RNA
Source: RNAcentral
GCACCACAAGAGCGUGGAGUAUGUGGCUUAAUUUGACUCAACGCGGAAAAGCUUAUCUGGUCCGGACGCAGUGAGGAUUGACAGACAGUUUCAGGAGUGGUUCUUGGUAAACAAUUGAGAGAGUUGAAGUUCUUUCAUGAUCUUGUGAGAGGUGGUGCAUGGCCGUUCUUAGUUCGUGUAGUGAUAUGUCUGCCUAAUCGCGUCACGAUAACCUAUUGGUCGACAACCCAAUUAUCACAACUGCAGCAUAACUCCCCUUGGGUGGGCGAGGCUCUGUGUAGGAUAGACCUCUGAACAGUACGCAACGAACGCGAUCGUAAUCCCUUGUUGAGUGGCCAUCCUGUAAGCUGCUGGAUUAGGAACCCAGUGGUAUUAUCUCAGCCACAGAUUUUCUGGUUGUAAUGGGCCAGUUUUGAAACUCGGGGGAACAUCUGUGACUUUCUUUCUUAACGCA